Molecule: long non-coding RNA, 272 nt
Filed under: Homo sapiens (human)
Lineage: Eukaryota; Metazoa; Chordata; Mammalia; Primates; Hominidae
Description: non-protein coding lnc-TP53TG3-22:6
Source: RNAcentral
GCAGAUGAUAGUGUCAAACCAAGUGGAACAAAGAAAGAAGAUCUGGAUGACAAAGAGAAAAAAGAUGAAACUCCUGCACCUGUAUAUAGGGCCAAGUCAAUUCUGGAGAGCUGGGUAUGGGAGUAAGCAACCAGGGAUGUUCACGGAACGCCAGGCACCAAAAGGCCAGAAGCAUGCCCCUGCAGGACCAGCACUUGGCUCUGGCCAUCCUGCUGGAGCUGGCUGUGCAGAGAGGCACGCUGAGGUGAGGGCUUGUGCAGAAUGGGAACGCU